UGGUCAGCUGAAAAAGGUCUGCAAUGCAAAGGCUCAAAACAUGGCUCAGAUCUACCAUGUCUGAUGACAGAUUCACAAAAAUGGCACUCAUGUCCUAAGUCAAAGAGAGUCCCUCGUGGUGGAAUGCCUCUGGCCACAGGAGGAGGCCGCUAGUCUUCCAUGAAAGGCAGUGCGCAGGCGCGGGAGUUCCAAAGCGAAACUGACUACGAACCAGACUGCUGCUCUACGGUACCGGAGAAACGUUUAACAAACAUAUCAGGCGUCCAGAAUGUACAGCCUAAGUAAAUGGUUUGGGAGCGAAGGAAUGCGGAUGAGGAGUUUCUACAGUGUGAACGGCAGUAAUGGCUGUAGUCUCCGCAUCUGUGAGGAAUUUAAGCUAAAGUUGAAGGCCAAGGGUCAGACUGAGGUGAUGUUACCAAACCAAUGUGACUACCUCCUGGCCUUCUGUACCAUCAGUACACGGCCGGGGAUUGAUAUCCAUGAGACUAUGGAGAAAUGUCCAGGUGGAAAGCAGGUUAUUUUGGUGGUGCUACAUCAUACCUAUGACCAUGGAAAGUUUGUCUCUCCCAAGGCAAAAGAGAUUUCAGCAAACAUCCUCCUCAGUGUGGACGUCAUGUUCUAUGAGGGAAAGAUGCUGGAAUGCCCCCACAAUGAAAGGGAAUUUGAUAAGAUCCUGAAAAUAGUUGGAUACCCCUAUUCUACGUUCAACCGUUUGAAAAACUGGGUCAUCCGCAUGUGCUAUUGGUUGGUAAAACCGAAGGUGCUGCUGGCUAUUCUCGUGUUCGGAGGAACACUGUGGUUUAUUUUCUCCAAUCGAGAAGUACCAAAGAAAGAUCGCAGUCUCUUCCGCAAGGACUCUGCCAGUUUAUGGAACUACUUGCCAACAUUUUCGAGUCCAUCACCUUGAUGAAUCUAGUAAUUAAGGAUGCUGUCUGUAACAUGUUGAUGGAUGUAAUUAUUCCAGGUGCUGUAGAUAAGAUUUGAAAGAGCGGAAGAGAGCAAGCCAAACAAAAAUAUGUUCUCACCGAGCAUUCCACUCACUAAUAGCUGAAUGAUGCAUGGCAUUUCUAUAAAAUUAUUAAACUCUAUAUAAUAUAAUAAUAGAUCUUAAAUCUAUCAUUUAUGAAUUAAAUACAUCAAAACGUCUAACUAUAAUCUAGAUAAAUAGGGUUUGUUUACAACCAACUGUGUUAAUGUGUUGCCCCAAAUGUGUAUCCAAUUCAUAAAGGAAAUAAAAUACUGAAGAUAUAUAUUUUUGUGACUAUGUAUAAUGAUGUAGCCCAUACACUGGUACACAACUAACAUUAGCUAUACCAGGCCUCCAGUGUAUAACAAAUACCGGCAAAAAAUGCUUAAUUACAAAAUAGUACAAAAUAUAGGUUUAGGUUCGUAACACACACACUUGAAAAUAUACAGCAGCAGGUCCCAUGCCUCAACCACACAGUAAGAAUAGAUCACAAUCAUCAACCAACAAACCAAUCAAUACACAGCGCUAGAUGCUGAUGUCUUAUAAUAUAGGUUAUACUGGGAGAGGUUGAUGCUGCUGCUAAGAUUAUAAUGGGAGUUGUUGAUGCUGCUGGUAGAGUCACUCAAACAUCACAACGAGUUCGCACGAGACGGUUUUUAGUGGGCACGAGACAGUGACUAGUUGGUCCGGGAACCCUUCUCGUGCGGAAUAUAUAUAAUAUAUGUAUGUAUGUAUGCUAUGUACAGUGUUGUGCCUGGACGGACGCGUUCAUUGAACGAUAGUUCAUGAACUCGUUCAUAUUUUCGGCGAACGUGAACUGAACGUACUGUAUCACUGCCUGAUGAACGUUACUGUGAACUUGUUCAUUCUGGUGUCUGUGAACGGCACGCGCACUCGGUUUAACUUCGUUCAAUUGGGGGGUUAUUUGUUUGUCAACACGGCGGAUGCGCGCGCAGAAUGAGAACAUUUGUUUGACCGGUUGCCAUGGUUAUCUCCGUGUGGUUAAUUUGCAGUUGCGGUGUUGUCAGCUUACUGUUACAUUAAACUGCAAUCAGAAAAUGCGGUUAUAUGCUAUAGACCAGGGGUGCCCAACCAGUCGAUCGCGAUUUACCAGUCGAUCGUGGGCGGAGUUUCAGUCGAUCGCGAGAAGUGUAUGAAAAAAAAAAUAAUAAUUAUAUACAAAAUAAAAAACACUAAUCAAAUCAUUGUUCAUGAGAGGCCAAUGUGUAUUUUCAUAAUAAUAAAAUGAAAAAUAAAAAUAGGUAUGCAGGCAACCUUUUUUAUUCAUGCUAGAGUCUGAUUGCUGGCCAUGGUUUGCCACGGUUGCUAGGUUGUAACCAGGGACUCUACAGCGGGAAGACGUAGCUGUCAGUUGUAGAGAUAAUGUCGGAAGCCAAAAAAGCUAAAACUUAUCACUUUCAUCGCGAGUGGGAAGAUGAUUACUUUUUUACUUUUUCAAAUUCAAAGUCGGUUUGUCUGAUCUGUAAUGCUGCUGGGGCCAUUCCGAAGAAGGGGAAUUUGGAGCGACACUUUCUUACGGUUCACAAGAAGUAUGCUAGUGACUUCCCGGCGAGAUCAGCUCUACGGACUGAGAAGGUUUCUGAGCUGAAGAGACAACUAGCCGCAAAGCAGGCAGUGUUUACGAGUAGCGUCUUACCGUGUCAGUAGAGUUCUGGCAAAGCGAAAAAAAAGUUUUAAAGAUGGGGAAGUUUUCAAGGAAGCUUUUUUGGAAGCCGCUGACACGCUUUUUGCUGACUUCAAAAACAAGAAAGAGAUUGUGUCCUCUAUUGAAGAUAUGCAGCUGUCCAGGAACACCGUUACAAGGCAGUGCGAGGCCAUGUCAGGGGAUAUAGAACAGCAGCUACAAAAUGACAUUGACGCCUGCCUUUGUUUUUCCUUGCAAUUUGAUGAGUCGACUGAUGCUGUGGAUGUGGCGCAGUUGUGUGUUUUCAUUCGGAUGGUUUUUCUUUCCCGGAUUUUUUGAGCUACCACUGCAUCAUUCAUCAACAACAGCUGUGCGGCAAGAUUUUAAAUAUGAAGGACGUCAUGGAUGUUGCGAUGAAGAUCGCUUGCUCUGUUUGGGCCAGGAGUUUACAGAGGCGUUUAUUCCGUGCCCAGCUGGAGGAGGCAGGUGCAGACCACACAGAUCUGCUGCUGCACACUGACGUCAGGUGGCUGAGCCGUGGCAGAUUCCUCGAAAGAUUUUUGGAACUUUUGCCCGAAAUUAAAGAGUUCCUGAAACACUCAACAACCCAUGCUGUUGCUUAUUCCCAGCUGGAAGACGGUCAGUGGCUCACUGAUUUGGCCUUUCUCACCGAUGUCACCAAUAAGAUCAAUGACUUGAAUCUCGAGCUGCAGGGGAAAGGAAAGCACAUCGCCAACAUGAUCAGUUCAGUGAACGCAUUUAAAACAAAGUUACGCCUGCUGUUAAGCAGGUUGUAGCGGUGUGACCUGAGGAGUUUUCCACACAUGGAGGCAGAGCUCCGCCGCCAGGGCAAGGAAAGUGUGGAGCUGUCAGAUGCUUAUGCGCAACAAAUUCAAAGCAUUCUAUCGGAGUUUGAGCGCCGGUUUGCGGACUUUGCUUCCAUUGAGCCCGUUGCCCAGUUCCUAUGCUUUCCAUUUGCAAAUGUUGAUGUUGAUUGCAUUGCCCCCCAAAUAGCCACGCUCUUCAGCCUGGACGGCAGUGCUGUGGAGAACGAAAUUCUUACUCUCACAAAUGACAUUGAGCUAAAAGCAAGAGCAACACCUGGCAUAAGUGGCGAAUUUUGGAACCUGUUGCUGGAAGAGAAGAUCAUCAAGUCGAAGUACAGAAUGACAUUGACUGAUGACCACCUUGCGGCCUGCCUAAGGCUGGCGCUCAGCUCCUACCGCCCGGAUUAUGAGAAGCUUGCUGACUCCUCCCAGUGCCAGAAGUCUCACUAAGGUAGAGACG
RNA transcript from Gadus chalcogrammus (walleye pollock), 3899 nucleotides. RefSeq lists it as uncharacterized. The transcript is spliced from 8 exons. The record is from RefSeq and is a predicted model, not a curated record. Lineage: Eukaryota; Metazoa; Chordata; Actinopteri; Gadiformes; Gadidae.